GCUGCGGUGGUGUAAUGGUCAGCAUAUCUGCCUAGUAAGCAAGAAGUUCCGGGUUUGAGUCCUGGCCGCAGCA
Molecule: non-coding RNA, 73 nt
Organism: Schistocerca serialis cubense
Lineage: Eukaryota; Metazoa; Arthropoda; Insecta; Orthoptera; Acrididae
Source: the annotation of a RefSeq genome assembly